This is a long non-coding RNA of Zea mays, 1141 nucleotides long. RefSeq lists it as uncharacterized. Lineage: Eukaryota; Viridiplantae; Streptophyta; Magnoliopsida; Poales; Poaceae. The transcript has 2 exons. The record is from RefSeq and is a predicted model, not a curated record.
UGUCUGACACCUUUAUCUAUGCAUGUUUCUGGUUUUCUUUUCUUUAGGGCUAGUUUGGAAACUAAAAUCCCCUUCGGGAUUGAAGGGGAUUGGAGAGGAAAUUAGUUUUUCCACCUCAAUCCCCUCCAAUCCCGAAGGGGAUUCGAGGUUCCCAAAGUAGCCCUUAGUUGUUUUUUCCCAUUAUACUACAUAUAAAUGUUUCUUCACCUUUGUUUAGUUACAUGAAUUAGUCCUAAUCCCAACACCAUUCUUUUCUGGAAUUUUUCAUGGCAAUUUGCUAUCAGCAAGCAGAAAGAAAUACAUUCUUUUGGCAAAUUUCCUUGUUCAGGUUUUGCAGUAGGUAUAGGUUGCCUGUUUAUCUCAUCUUUCUCCAGUGUAAUUGAAACAAUGCGUGCUGCUCCUCAAAAUAAUGUCUAUCGUGUUGGUUUAUUCUUAUUCCUGAAUUCAGCAUCUUGGGGAAAAAGAUGUGCGGUUUAUGGGGUUUUGUAGUCUACAGAUGUCCAUUAAUUAUAGGUAUGCAGGUGGAUCACAGCACAUGGUUCACUAGGUUGCCCUGCAUAGGCGGUGGUAGGCAGCAAUGUCAAUCCAGUGCCAUCUGCCAGUAAGGCCCAAGAGAACAGUCAUCAACCCAAGAGUGUCGAGGCCCAAAUUGCUCAUAUCAGUCUAGAUAGUCCAGAAUGAAUAUGAGUUGCUUGUGUAAGCAUUUUGGGCAUGACCUGCUGUAGUCAUUUAAGACAAGGGAUAAUCAGAGAGAGGCCUCAAUGAAGUUGUAUAAAAGUUAAGCUUUUUCUAUGGAACAGUAGGGGCAUGACAGUUUCUUCAUUCAAUAUAAUUCCUCCUCUCUUAUAUUCAGAUAUAAUCUUUCCUAUUUUUUUUAAUCCUGAUCCUAAAAUUCAAUCCAGCUACCUGUACCCCUAACACAGAGCUGCACCUGGAAGCAGCGAGAGGGUGUUUUUUUGGCUGGGUGGAGUAAAGGGUUGUCACUUGAUACCAAGAGGAGGAAAGUAUUAACCACUUGCUGUCGACAUGUCUUUGAACACUGACGAGGUCUUUGAUGAUGACUGGUGGGAUAAAAUCUCAAGGCAAGGGUGCCUGAUCAUUUAAGAAAGGGUUUCAACUCCAUCAUCAUUUUAGGGACUUG